GAUGAACGCUAGCGGCAGGCCUAAUACAUGCAAGCCGAACGGCAAGCUUUGUAGCAAUACGGAGCCUAGAGUGGCGUAAGGGUGCGUAACACGUAUGCAAUCUACCCUCAACAGGAGAAUAGCUCCCCGAAAGGGGAAUUAAUGUUCCAUAGGAUCAUGGUGCGGCAUCGCACAGUGAUUAAACCGCAAGGGGUUGAGGAUGAGCAUGCGCANGAUUAGUUAGUUGGCGGGUAACGGCCACCAAGACGAUGAUCAUUAGGGGAACUGAGAGGUUGA
RNAcentral lists this ribosomal RNA (276 nucleotides) under uncultured bacterium. RNAcentral's name for it is "partial 16S ribosomal RNA". It matches the Rfam family "Bacterial small subunit ribosomal RNA", at positions 28 to 303 of the family's 1533-position model. The record is from RNAcentral.